CCUACGGGAGGCAGCAGUGGGGAAUAUUGCACAAUGGGCGAAACCCUGAUGCAGCGACGCCGCGUGAGUGAAGAAGUAAUUCGUUAUGUAAAGCUCUAUCAGCAGGGAAGAAAAUGACGGUACCUGAGUAAGAAGCCCCGGCUAACUACGUGCCAGCAGCCGCGGUAAUACGUAGGGGGCAAGCGUUAUCCGGAUUUACUGGGUGGAAAGGGAGCGUAGACGGCAGUGCAAGUCUGGAGUGAAAGGCGGGGGCUCAACCCCCGGACUGCAUUGGAAACUGGACGGCUGGAGUGCAGGAGAGGUAAGUGGAAGUCCUAGUGUAGCGGUGAAAUGCGUAGAUAUUAGGAGGAACACCAGUGGCGAAGGCGGCUUACUGGACUGUAACUGACGUUGAGGCUCGAAAGCGUGGGGAGCAAACAGGAUUAGAUACCCGAGUAGUC
Molecule: ribosomal RNA, 440 nt
Filed under: uncultured bacterium
Lineage: Bacteria
Description: partial 16S ribosomal RNA
Rfam family: Bacterial small subunit ribosomal RNA
Source: RNAcentral